This is a long non-coding RNA of Tigriopus californicus, 1620 nucleotides long. RefSeq lists it as uncharacterized. The record is from RefSeq and is a predicted model, not a curated record. NCBI's taxonomy places the organism in Eukaryota, Metazoa, Arthropoda, Copepoda, Harpacticoida, Harpacticidae. The transcript has 3 exons.
CCAUUGAAGAGUGAUGAUUUAUUUCAUUUAAGGAAACUUGGGCUGGCGUAGAUCCAAGGAAUUUGAGAAUUAAAUGUAGGCUUUGAAGGGUAUUACGAAUAAAAUGCCUCUUUGUAUCUGUGCUUAAGUUGGUGUUUCAGUCACGCGAGUGAGGAACAUGCAACUAGUGCCAAGGUCUGGCUUUAGAUUAUUUUGGAGAUCAGUCACCUUUGGAUACAGCGGAUUGUUAUUAUCAAAUUCUUGAACAUGGUCUGUAAGUAAGUAAGCUAGCCAGAAGGGCAGAGCACUCCCCCAUUUCCACCAUAAACUGAUAUUAUCCCAUUAAUCCUUGGGUUCUUGCAAGUUUUGAUCCUCUUUCUCCGUACUAUUGCUCAACGUCAUCAUGGCCUCUUGACUUGAGUUGGGGGGUGGUCUUUAUUUAUUGGAGAAUACUAGCAAGCCGGCACCCGGUAGGUGCAAGUUUCAAGACAGCAGACAUCUAGUGCGACGAUAUAAUAUGCAUGAAAAUCCAGUGGAAAAGCUGAAUCGCAUCGAUCGAAUACAAUGUUACCACCAUCAGUGACUCGUGGCCAACUGAAUUUCAUUUUCAAUGGUGAAACUUCAAUGAGAGACUACCUCGAUGGAUGAGGGAGGCCAAUCCGGAGCUCGCUUUCAUUAUUUGCCUCCAAAAAUGCCGUUUGCGCUCAAUGACUCAAACGAGACUCUUAGUCGUGAUAUUGUUCCUUCCGAUCGAGGACGGUCCGAAGUUCUGAGGAAAUGGUCUCGGCAGCAUGGUGACCCCGAACUCGAUCAGUGCACAUACAAGAUCAUCGAUGGUGGCGAGAGUGUCACUUCAUCACAGUAGUAGUGUACGCUCAUUGCAAUAAAUCCAGUACAAUUUAUGGAAGACCAACACGAAUUUGUAUUGUUAGUAAACAGACGCCCAGCUAACUGGUUGGAGAAUGUAGAGAGGGUUAAGAGUGUGACAAAACUUCCUAAAUCCCUCAUCUUUGACAUUACAUUUUGCAUUGGUCUUCCCCAGUCUUCCCACGAAUUUCCAGCGGUUUCCAUAGCAUUUGAGAGGACCUUGGCUUCCAGACAAAAAAUCAUUUUCUGUCGCGUGGAAACAGAACGAUGUCCCAAAUACCCUUACUUGAAUUCCUUGCCUUCUCAAUUCGAUGGAGUGAAGACGCUAAAUUGACGAGGUGACACUCCCGUUGUGCAGAUCUGGGAUGGCUUAAUCUUCCAAUAUCUCCAUGCCUUUUGGAACAAUUCCGAAAUCGCUGACUAUAAAAUCGAAAAGGAGACGUUAUUCUCAUCACUGCUUCUUGAUCCACCCUCCUGAAACUGAAUUUCUCAUGCCGGACCACAUGGUGCAAGCUCAAUCACAAGCUCUUGCACUGAAGAAACUUUCACCCAGGUGCUAUGUAGAGUCGGAUCCAUCAACUUGUCGCCACAAUGAUGAUCUGUAGUUGGAACUCAUCUUGCCAUUAUAAUCCAAAUGUAUCAAAAAUAGUUCGUUUUUAUAGUUAGAACGAGAGAAUGGCCAUAUAAAUGGUCCGACCAUUGGCUAAAAGGCGUAAAGUUUCGCCAUUUUAUAUUAGUUUUCAUUUUGAAUUAUAUCCCUUGACAAAAUUUUAA